This is a long non-coding RNA of Carassius auratus (goldfish), 439 nucleotides long. RefSeq lists it as uncharacterized. The transcript has 3 exons. The record is from RefSeq and is a predicted model, not a curated record. Lineage: Eukaryota; Metazoa; Chordata; Actinopteri; Cypriniformes; Cyprinidae.
CUGAGUACAGAAGCGAAAUGAAAUUGACCGGAAGUAGGAAGUUUGACGUAGUCGGCUACGUACAGACACGAGGAUGUGAGGACGCCAGUGCUCCGUAAUCUGGACAAAAUGACAAGCCACGACAAAAGUCGAAAGUUUGUCUGGUUCUGGAUGAAGGUCCGUGUCGGUCUGUCGCCGUCUGACCUGUAGAAACGCCUCAUUAACAGAACAAACGAGCGCUGUACACUAAUGAGUGAAGAUCCAUUCCUGUGUGUCCUCUAAUAACGGCUGCGGUCAUUAGUGCUCCGCUGAGACUCUUCCUCCUCAUCCUCCUCUUCCUCACGAUCUACAGGUGAACCACUGCGACUCACAAUCAGCUUUAACAGAGAAAACACACAUCACAUCUCUUCAGUUCUACAGUAUGUGCUUGACAACUAUACACAAAUAAACAUGCAGAAAU